RNAcentral lists this transfer RNA (62 nucleotides) under Poecilia formosa (Amazon molly). Lineage: Eukaryota; Metazoa; Chordata; Actinopteri; Cyprinodontiformes; Poeciliidae. The record is from Rfam by way of RNAcentral.
UGUGGCUCUGGGGGAAGAGUAGUCGUCUUGUGAGCGGAAGGUUGCAGGUUUGAUUCCUGCCA